GGGACCUUCUAUCAAGGUCUGGGACCCUUAUAAUGUUCUCGCUCCACCACCCUCAAUUCCUCAUUUCCACCGAACAUUCUCCUCUGAUUCUGUCGAUGACGAUAGGACCCUCACUGACCUAUAUUUAAUUAGUAAUGGCGAAUGUCAUAUGAAUUUAAGACCUGAUUUGAUUGCCGGCCGAUCCCCAGAGGCUGCACUUACACCUAAUGGCAAGCGCCAAGCAAGAGCUUUGGCUGUUUUUCUAAAGUCUCAAGGGAUUCGUUUCAAUUCUGUCUAUACAUCUCCCUUGGAUCGGGCACGAGCUACUGCCCUCUCUGUUUGUCAGGAAAUAAACUUUUCGGAGGAACGGAUACAAUCCUCUGAUGGUCUACUGGAAAUGAGUCAGGGGCAUUGGGAGGGAUGCCACCGCUCGGAUAUUUUUACACCUGAAACAGCUAGCCUAAUGGAAAAGUUCCAGCCUGAUUUUUCAGCACCAUCUGGAGAGUCACUGAGGCAGGUGGAAUUUCGGAUGGUACAAUUCCUAAAUGGAACUGUUAUGACAUUGCCUGACAAAUUCAGAUCUGAUUUCUCUCCACCUGAUCAGGGCUUCUCAAACCGUGGUUCUCAUCCACUUGUCAAUUCAGUUCAUGACCGAGAUGGGCCACCCUCUUUCUCGUCAUCCCAUUGGGAUUUGCACCACAGGAAUCGACAAGGACUUUCGAGGAAGAAGUCUGGAAAGAGUAGGCUUCAGAUCGUGACAACAACUGGGGAUCAUGAGGCUGAUGACGAGAUGUCACCUCGAGAACCCAUUAAUCCUAACUCCAUCCGAGAUUUAAAUGUGCAAAACAGUAGUAAUGUUUCCCAAUGCAUUGGUAUUUUCACACAUUCAAUCCCAAUAAAGUGUCUUCUUACUGGCCUUCUUGGCUGCAGUUCAAUGAUGUCAAGUAAGAUAUGCAUAGAUGAUUCUUCGGUGACAGUGCUACAACAUUCCUGGAAAAUGGGAUGGCAGAUCAAGAGAAUGAACGAUACUGCACAUCUUAGGCUUCUC
This 1027-nucleotide unclassified non-coding RNA is filed under the name Hevea brasiliensis (rubber tree). Lineage: Eukaryota; Viridiplantae; Streptophyta; Magnoliopsida; Malpighiales; Euphorbiaceae. The record is from RNAcentral.